Molecule: ribosomal RNA, 1473 nt
Filed under: uncultured Bordetella sp.
Lineage: Bacteria; Pseudomonadati; Pseudomonadota; Betaproteobacteria; Burkholderiales; Alcaligenaceae
Description: partial 16S-23S ribosomal RNA intergenic spacer
Rfam family: Bacterial small subunit ribosomal RNA
Source: RNAcentral
GGUUUGAUUCUGGCUCAGAUUGAACGCUGGCGGGAUGCUACAUGCAAGUCAGACGGCAGCACGGACUUCGGUCUGGUGGCGAAAGUGGCGAACAGGUGAGUAAUGUAUCGGAACGUGCCUAGUAGCGGGGAUAACUUGCGGCGUACAGCUAUUACCGCAUACACCCUUCGGGGAAAGCGGGGGGACCUUCCGGGCCUCGCACUAUUAAGAGACGACCGGAUAUGGAUUAAGCUAGUUGGUGGGGCAACGGCUCACCAAGGCGACGAUCCGUAGCUGGUUUGAGAGGACGACCAGCCACACUGGGACUGAGACACGGCCCAGACUCCUACGGGAGGCAGCAGUGGAGAAUUUUUGGACAAUGGGAAACCUGAUCCAGCUGCAUCCCGCGUGUGCGAUGAAGGCCUUCGGGUUGUAAAGCACUGGCGGAAAGAAACGGCACGGGAUAAUACCCGGCGACUGAGCGGUACCUGCAGAAUAAGCACCGGCUAACUACGUGCCAGCAGCCGCGGUAAUACGUAGGGUGCAAGCGUUAAUCGGAAUUACUGGGCGUAAAGCGUGCUGAAGACGGUUCGGAAAGAAAGAUGUGAAAUCCCAGAGCUUAGCUGGUUUCAUUUUUAACUACCGAGCCUAGAGUGUGUCAGGAGGGAGAGUGGAAUUCCGUGAUAACGAAAUGCGUAGAUGCAGCUGCGGAGGAACACCGAUGGCGAAGGCAGCCUCCUGGGAUAACACUGACGCUCAUGCACGAAACGUGGGGAGCAAACAGGAUUAGAUACCCUGGUAGUCCACGCCCUAAACGAUAUCAACUAGCUGUUGGGGCCUUCGGGACGCUGAUGAGCACAGCUAACGCGUGGUUGACCGCCUGGGGAAGUACGAUAUAGAUUAAAACUCAAGGAAUUGACGGGGACCCGCACAAGCGGUGGAUGAUGUGGAUUAAUUCGAUGCAACGCGAAAACCUUACCUACCCUUGACAUGUCUGGAAUCCAGAGAGAGAUUUGGGAGUGCUUCCGCAAGAGAACCGGAACACAGGUGCUGCAUGGCUGUCGUCAGCUCGUGUCGUGAGAUGUUGGGUUAAGUCCGCAACGAGCGCAACCCUUGUCAUUUCGGAUUGCUACAGGAACUCUAAUGAGACUGCCGGUGACAAACCGGAGGAAGGUGGGGAUGACGUCAGGUCUCAUGGCCCAUAUGGGUAGGGCUUCACACGUCAUACAAUGGUCGGGACAGAGGGUCGCCAACCCGCUGAGGGAGCCAAUCCCAGGAACUUGAUCGUAGUCCGGAUGCGAUCCAACUCGACUGCGUGAAGUCGGAAUCGCUAGUAAUCGCGGAUCAGCAUGUCGCGGUGAAUACGUUCCCGGGUCUUGUACACACCGCCCGUCACGCCAUGUAGAGUGGGUUUUACCAGAAGUAGUUAGCCUAACCGUAAGGGCGAUUACCACGGUAGGAUUCAUGACUGGGGUGAAGUCGUAACAAGGGCAA